UUGGCUAUAGGAGAGGUUCCAGGGAUAAGGUCGAUCACAAACUCUAUAUCCCUAUCUGGGGGCGUUCCAGGUAGUUCUUCAGGAAAGACAUCAGGGUAUUCACUUACUACCGGGACUCCUUCUAUGGCCUUAACUUCCAUGCUAAAAACCAUUGGGUCGGGUCCACUUCCCCGAGUGUGACAAGUCACUUGUAUACCGUCCUGAUUAACCAAGCGUACUACCUUAUCAGCACAUCCUAUGUGUCCAUCAUGUAGGCUUAACCAAUCCAUUCCAAGGAUCACAUCUAUC
This 288-nucleotide long non-coding RNA is filed under the name Setaria viridis. RNAcentral's name for it is "long non-coding RNA (SVIR_LNC005681)". Lineage: Eukaryota; Viridiplantae; Streptophyta; Magnoliopsida; Poales; Poaceae. The record is from RNAcentral.